UACAUUUCAUUCAUAAAAUUCAAGCACAGGUGCGUGGAAUUUACUACGAUUUACUACAGUUGCUACAAUUGGAUCUUCACAAAAAUACAAGACAUACAGUUGGAUUAUUCAGUGGAUUAUUACUAUGAACUGGUAAAUUAUUACAUGAACUUCAACUGGUUUAUCAAAUAUAUACAAAUGACAGUAAUUCAAUAUUUCUACAAGAAUCAUAAUAUUGUAAUUGUUCUAACUUUACUUUAUUAAAUGUUAAUUAAAACUUAUUUGCUUCAAUUAUCAUAUGUUCCAGACUACAAGCAUUACAAGUAGUAUAAUACAAGUUAUUUCACACAGUUACUGUUUCCUACAUAAUAACUUACAUAAAAAAUACAGAAUAUUAAACAGUAUGCUUUAUUAAUACCAAUUUAAAACAUACAUCAAAAAUAUCUUACAUGUCUAUAACACGUCACAAUAAAAUACAUGUACCCUAGUCGUCGUACUCUACAUUUUACCCCCUUUCCAUUAUUUGCGUCCCCGCAAAUACUUUAAACUUUUGCAAAAGUUUCCAUUUAAAAUUUUUCUAUGUCUUAAAAUACAUAUUCUUCUUAAAAAGAAAUUAUUUCUAAAACUGGAUGAAAUUAGCUUUCUUAUUAAUACAAUCUAUGAUUAUAACACAAAUACAUCAUAAUAUAAUACCAAUUAUGUAAAAAUUAUACAUAAAUAUAUAUAUUUUUAUAUAUUUUACAGAUACACCAGAAGAUUCAACAUUGUGACCAUCAGCAUGAGGGCGGUAGAUACCAGAUAAACAUACAUAUAUAUACCAAAUGUGGAAAAUUACUGAAGUACGUUAUGAACAAACUGGAACAUGGCUAAGAACCAGAGGUUUCUGAAGGAAAAUUUUAGUUACCAUGCAAACAGUACCAAAAU
RNAcentral lists this long non-coding RNA (903 nucleotides) under Mytilus galloprovincialis (Mediterranean mussel). The record is from RNAcentral. Lineage: Eukaryota; Metazoa; Mollusca; Bivalvia; Mytilida; Mytilidae.